Molecule: ribosomal RNA, 526 nt
Filed under: uncultured bacterium
Lineage: Bacteria
Description: bacterial SSU rRNA
Rfam family: Bacterial small subunit ribosomal RNA
Source: RNAcentral
AACGUAGGGUGCAAGCGUUGUCCGGAAUUACUGGGUGUAAAGGGAGCGCAGGCGGAUUGGCAAGUUGGGAGUGAAAUCUAUGGGCUCAACCCAUAAAUUGCUUUCAAAACUGUCAGUCUUGAGUGGUGUAGAGGUAGGCGGAAUUCCCGGUGUAGCGGUGGAAUGCGUAGAUAUCGGGAGGAACACCAGUGGCGAAGGCGGCCUACUGGGCACUAACUGACGCUGAGGCUCGAAAGCAUGGGUAGCAAACAGGAUUAGAUACCCUGGUAGUCCAUGCCGUAAACGAUGAUUACUAGGUGUGGGAGGAUUGACCCCUUCCGUGCCGCAGUUAACACAAUAAGUAAUCCACCUGGGGAGUACGACCGCAAGGUUGAAACUCAAAGGAAUUGACGGGGGCCCGCACAAGCAGUGGAGUAUGUGGUUUAAUUCGAAGCAACGCGAAGAACCUUACCAGGUCUUGACAUCGGAUGCAUACCUAAGAGAUUAGGGAAGUCCUUCGGGACAUCCAGACAGGUGGUGCAUGGUU